CCCUUAGAUGUUCUGGGCCGCACGCGCGCUACACUGAUGCAUUCAACGAGUUUCUUCCUGGUCCGAGAGGAAUGGGUAACCUUUUGAAAGUGCAUCGUGAUAGGGAUAGACUAUUGCAAUUAUUGGUCUUCAACGAGGAAUUCCUAGUAGACGUAGUUCAUCAGACUGCAUCGAUUACGUCCCUGCCCUUUGUACACACCGCCCGUCGCUCCUACCGAUUGAAUGCUCAGGUGAGCCAUACGGACUUUCAUCAUGCUGGUUUCCAGUUUUGAUGAAGGAAAGUCUUGCGAACCUUAUCAUUUAGAGGAAGGAGAAGUCGUAACA
Molecule: ribosomal RNA, 324 nt
Filed under: uncultured eukaryote
Lineage: Eukaryota
Description: partial 18S ribosomal RNA
Rfam family: Eukaryotic small subunit ribosomal RNA
Source: RNAcentral